UAUCCUACGGGGGGCAGCAGUGAGGAAUAUUGGUCAAUGGACGAGAGUCUGAACCAACCAAGUAGCGUGAAGGAUGACUGCCCUAUGGGUUGUAAACUUCUUUUGUCGGGGAACAAAGGCGGAGACGCGUCUCCGGAUGAGUGUACCCGAAGAAAAAGCAUCGGCUAACUCCGUGCCAGCAGCCGCGGUAAUACGGAGGAUGCGAGCGUUAUCCGGAUUUAUUGGGUUUAAAGGGUGCGCAGGCGGGAGAUCAAGUCAGCGGUAAAAUGUCGGGGCUCAACCCCGGCCGGCCGUUGAAACUGGUU
RNAcentral lists this ribosomal RNA (305 nucleotides) under uncultured bacterium. RNAcentral's name for it is "bacterial SSU rRNA". It matches the Rfam family "Bacterial small subunit ribosomal RNA", at positions 335 to 638 of the family's 1533-position model. The record is from RNAcentral.